This is a long non-coding RNA of Bombus huntii, 6273 nucleotides long. RefSeq lists it as uncharacterized. The transcript is spliced from 3 exons. NCBI's taxonomy places the organism in Eukaryota, Metazoa, Arthropoda, Insecta, Hymenoptera, Apidae. The record is from RefSeq and is a predicted model, not a curated record.
CUUGAGAAGGAUCGAUCUCGAAGGAGUUAAGUGGCUGCCGGUUCUUCCAAGAAGUAUACCCAUCGACUCCAGAGUAGGAAUCACGUUCAUGGCCGACCGUGCUCCAUCGCGGCCUCUGUCAUCUUAAUCCCCGGGAUCCUUUUUACACGGCUUUCUCAUUCGCGUCCUCUGUGUACCCGCCACCUUGUGGACUUUGCUGCCCAGACCAAGACCCGGGACCACCUUCUCUCUUAUCCGCUUGAAUUACGGCGAGGCACGUCCGCCCCUAGUGGAUGUCCUGCUUCAGGCUGGACCUCGUCCAGCUUUCACGGAAAAGGAACCUCCGUCGUCAAAUGGCCGAACCGUAUUAAAACGAAUCUGACCUACGUGAUGUUGGAUCUUAUUCCAACGUUAGAAAAUCAUCACACCGUCCUGCCGGAUCGCUUUCGCAACUUUUAUCGAAUACCGCAGGAUCGUCGAACGCGUCGCGUUGUCGUUCUCUUCGCUCUCUAGAAAUCUUCCUCCAACUCGAUACGUUUCGCGCAAUCUGCUGUCGGACAGACGUCGCAUUUUCGCCGUUCGCUCUUAUACGACGAGAACGCUUCGCUGCAUCGGACAUCGUCGCUAUAAUCGUAUCUAUAUAGCGUUCAUCGACGAGGCGUCACGUAUGACAAAGAUGGUGUCGCAAUCAGGUAGAAUCGAUCGGUCAGUCGAUAAAAGCUCGAAGGAUAGAUAUUGUCCGUGAAGAUGGCAGACUGGCGGUGAUCUUCGAGUAGACAAUAAAUGGUCAAGCGCUUUAGACACGUUUCCGUGAGCACGAACUAUGGGGCCUUCCGAUUGUACAGGCCAGCAAGGUUUCUCUUUAUUCUUCGACCAAGGGGAAGGUCGAUCGGCCCGAUGCCGAUCAACGAACAAAGCGUUUCUCCGUCGAUCAAGCUCUUCCUUCUCCUUUUCUUCGUCGACGAGCGUAUUCGUUGCUCCUUUUCCUUCUCUUCUUCGACAAGUAUUCCUUCAGAAAUACUCUCGUCGCGAACGUUUUCCAACGGACGGUACGCGCUAAGUAAAUUGCAUUUACGAAAUUUUCUCGAAAGUAUUUCGAUUCGAACAAAAUUCAUGUUCGAAAGAGGUUUCGAGAAUUAUGUACGUGUUUCGGCACGCGUCGACUCGAACUACUUUAUCGAGCGAAGCGUUCGUUUCGGGAAUGUCUUCUUCCUGAUUUCCAUACCUUCUGUUUGCUCGUUUACUCGUCGAGGUAGACAAGGGCCACGGAAGCGUGCGCAACUUCUACGACAUUUCUUUAAAAUUCGUCGAGUGAGAAGCGUUGAUUAAGCGACAUUCGUUUUUCUCGUUUUUGUCUGUCCUCCUUUGCGUCUCUUUUCCCUUGGUUCCGGGCUUGUUAAGGUGCGACCUGUGUAUUCGCUACGAGGUAACGUCUCUCAAAGGACUCCUUGGACUUGGCCGGUUCUUCACGAUAACGAAAUCGUUGUCGAAGUCUCUGAGAUCCUACGUCUUCUAGAAUCACCGAACAAACCUAAUUCUUUCUCCUCUCUUCUCUCAACCUCUUCGAAUCUACAGUUUCCUCGACGCGGACUAUACCAGUACGAAAUUUCGACAAAGUUUCGUCAAAACGUUCGCCCAGUUCUAAAGCAAGUAAUUUCAUAAUUGCCUAUUCCCGUCGUACCUGUUCGUACGUAAUUCGUAAUUCUCGUUCAGAUCAUCAAAACGUACGCGAUAUUCGUGAUAUCUUGGAUUCGUUCGCUCGUAGGACACAAUUAUCACGGUACUUUGGUAUUCUUCUCGCAGUUUCUUUCUUACAGCUUCCUAGAUACAUCUUAUCUGCCAGGCCUGAAACUAGCUUGAAACUCGAGUGCCGGUUGGGAGAGAUAGCAGCGAAUUGUUUGGUCCCCCGAGUGAACUAGGAUGUGUAUAACGGUGGUUAGAAGUUGCCAGGAUGCUUCCAAAACGUCGAGGCGGGGGAAAGCAGCAAUUUCUGCUUCGACGUACCACGAAGAGAGCGGCUCGAAGUUGCGACUCGAAUUGAAUGACCGAUCCGGGACGUCGAGCGACUAGCUAGAAGUAGAAACGAAGAAGAAGCGAACGAGACAUCCGUGAUCCGUUGGACGAGAACGAACCGAGCUCUGGAGCCAGGGAAAACCUUAUUAUGCGUUUCCCCGGAACUCCCCGCUUUGCACGGAUCUUGUAAAGUGGCGAGGGUCGCGUCAACCGAAUAACCAGACCAUAAACCACCAGAGGCCAAGGCAGAAGGACGGGUCGAGCGGCAGGCCGACUGCUAGAACCCGUUUACGUCACCCGUAAACCGGCAUCCUGUGGAUUUCGACGAGCAAAUACACUCGUGGCUAUGGUGCCUCGUAAACUCAGUCAAGACGUGAGCUGACGCACCGCUUUCCUGACGUUUCUCCAAAGGUGGAAACAGGCGAGACUACGCUACACACCAGGCCACACCGAAUCACACAGCGUCAGGAAAAAUACAGUCUCGCGCCGGUUGCUACGUUAUUCUUCGCUUGUAUUUAACUUAAAUAUCACGAACCCAGUGAAUACGUUGAAACUCGCGCGACCCAGCUUUCAAAUACUAAUUCAAACGAUCGCGAUUCGACGCGGCUUUUUCCAUUCAUCCGGCAGAGCUGCGAUAUUUUUGCCCGCGAUAGGGAGAGCAAGGGUGGUGGCGUGUCGCGUCGUUUUGCAGUUUGGAUCCCGGCAGAUUUAUCAGCCGCGUCGCGCGACAAAGUAUUUGCAUACAUUUCAAGUAAUUACUGGCUGUAUUUCAAAAAAUUACGCUCGCUCGUUGAUGGAUAGAACUGUUGUCGCGCGGCGCUGUUUCAGAAAGUUUUUUCGGGUCGCAGCACGGCCACCAACUUCGCACUGUCGCUACCUUUCCCCGGGGAAACGACCAUUUCGCGUUCCUGCUACAGUGUCGCGUGGUUAUUUGACGAGAGAAAAGCGCGCGCGAUCGCCACAUAAAAAUCUGGAUGAAUAAAAAUUCGCCUGAAAUCAUUAUCGGCCGUUACCAUUAAUAAUCACGAGGCUCGUAACAACGUCCCACGGGAUUUAGAUCUAUCGGUGAGUUUCACUCCGCGUUCCUCUUUUUCCUCUCCUCUCUCUCUCUCUGUCUCUCUCCUCUCGACGUUUCGUUGCCACGGUGAUGCAACCUCGUUUAAUUGCGAAACAUUUCCGCCACAACACGAGCAGAUGAAUCAACGGCUCGUGGUCUCUAUUUCUGUUUAAUUACAAAAUAUUCGCGAUAUCAACUCUCGUCUCUGGCCAUUCUCUGAAAAAGUCGCGAUCCUGCGAUUAUAUUGCUUUCUUUGUCCGGGAAUCCGCGAAACCAUAUUUUCUCACGCAGUCCCUUGGAAGAUGUCGCGAACCGAAUUCAUUGAGAGAGAGACGAUUCACGGCGAAUCUUUCUCUCUCGUAGCUAUGUCCAUAUCGUUAUCCACCGAACGUUGUUGGAUUUCAAUGGUUCGUGGCAUCGUUAGCUUUCCAGAUUCGUUUAAUUUCAGGCGGUCGAUCGCGUUGCUCCGUGUCGACCCGAUCUAAAACUGUCGCGACGGAUUUAGGAGUCACGCUAGGCGCUUCUGACAGGUGAAACUGGUUGAAGCAGCGCGAAAAUUUUAGUUUAAGAACGUAGCGGCUAGAGAAAGCUCGAGAAAGUCUGAAGCAUUAGCUGGAAGGAAGGUUACAUCGCUAAAAGUACCGUUUCGCGUGAACGCGGCGAUUAAAGAAGAACGAGGUUUAUUCGCGCCUCUCGAUUUACGAGCGACCGAUAACGAACAGCCAUUUUGUGGACUAAGUUGCUUCGUUAGCGGCUCGUUCGGCGGCUGUUGAAAACUACGUGGAAAGCGAUCGCGCGUCCGACAAACUUACAGGCGAAAAAAUAAAACUGCGAUCGCGAUAUCGGCUUGCGAACUUUGAUCGGAUGCUCGCCAUCGUCAUCGUUUAACAUGUCCGCGGCAGUUCUUCGACGAACUUUGCCGAGCGUUAAGCUGAAACUCCAUUAGUACGAAACGGCCGUAAAACGACGUGCUGCUCUCUUUGCACGUGCGCAAGCUUUGCCGUGGGUUUUGCCGUUAAACAAUACUCGAAAGAUGAGAGGAGAAGUGGGAAAUACGAAAAAAGCAGACAGAAGGAAAGAAAAAUCGAGAAAAAUAGCGGAUGGUGAAAACACAUAGGGGUUGAAGUGGAUCGGAAUUUGCAACUGUUUUCGAAGACUGCCAGGCGAUUCGUAAAUCAGAAAUCGAUAGCUCUUUCCUCGACGGUAUCAAUUUAUUCGAUUUCCCUCGGCCAGUUCCCAUUUGCCAUCGAUUUGGCGAGCCGGCUCUCCGAUCGGUCCGACUUAUUUAACACCACACCCGUGCUGAAUUUCCGGAUCGCUUGGAUUCCAAUCGUUCCAAUUAAAAAUUCAAAGCGAAUCGAAUUCCACGAGGUAGGCAGUUUCGAAUGGCGAUUCGGACGAUGUUCGGUGUGGCGCGGCGCCUCGUUUCUAUUCUCGUUUCAUUUGCAAGCAUCGCGUUUUGAUCUUCGAAUGCCGAGAGACGAGAGGAGAAAGAGAAGGAGGAGGAGGAGGGGCGGUUGGCCAACGAGCUAUCGUCGAUCGUAACUCGCGGCGAGGCAUCGUAGGACACGGGAUCGGAAAUAUCGGUGUACGAUAUACACGCACCACGUCGAUCUUCGCAGUUCACGGUACGACGUUACAAUCGGCGGUACGCCAAUGACCAACAAGUUUCUGAUUGACGAGCCGCGACGUUUUCGAAAAGCGACCAGCUCCGAAUCCUACGCGGGAAUAGACAACUGUGGCGUUCCGCUAACAGGUGCUCCAGUUUGUAGGGACCGAUUUAACCGGAAGCACGACAACGUUUCUGCAUGCCAGCAACACCGCUCUACGAGCCAUUGCGCGUUUGUUACACGUACACCAGCCUCGUUUCUGCCCGAUGCAACCGCUCCGUUAUUACUCUCUUGUCGGUAGACCGGUCGUUUAUUGUUAUUGGGUGCAGAAAUUCGGACAACAGUCGGUCAACAUCCCAAAGGAAAGCAGAUUUCAGUUUAUCGGUAACUGGGAUUCUUGAGAACGAUAACGCGAGGUUUGCCAGCGUGUGCGAUUCACCGAUCGUGUUCGCCAAGCAUCGUAAUUGAAAUAUUCAGGGCGAAAUCGUGGCAGACGAGAAGCUCCGCUGAUCGUUAGAUAAACGGAGUCGUUUUAUCGGAGAAACAGAAACGCGGCGUAAAUCGGAGUAAAUUCGUUCCGCUUCCCGGUGGCAAAAUACCGUGUAUCUCUGAAUGGUUUUCCCCUUUGCCACCUAUUUCACAUUUUUGUUGGGAACAUACGUAGGUAUAAAUAAACGAGCACGCUUUGAUCGCGAACGAUUGCAGGAAACCGAGCCAAUCGGAAUAUCGGAUGACAAGCAUACCGCGGACACGGUGGAAACUCGCACGGUUGGAUACGUUAUGGAUCGCAGAGGUUAUUGCACGUUGUUCGAGAGUAAAGGGGCUGGCAGAGAGGGUGUGCUGUACAAUUCGUAGGAUAGUUAAGGGCACUGACGUAACUACUGCAGCUAAUGAGGCAUAAACAACCGGGGUGCUAGCUACUCGGCCCCGCGUCCUAACCACCAUCCGAAAACCCCUACCUCUCCGUUUUACCUAACCAACUAUCCCCGUCCAUUUUAGUGGCCGUCUAUAGUUUAGUCACUGUUCUCGUAAACUAAUAAUAUCGGUGCGGCAGUACGGUCCUUUCGUGCGGCCAGCCUCGAAUUUAUCGUUUCCAACCUCGUACACUCUCCUGGUUUACCUACUGACAGAUCUUUCGGUCGGAUCAUUCCGUCGAAACGCUCCCUUUUAACUCUUUCCACUUUUAACCGACUAACCGCGAGUCGGACCGGUUCACGGAACACCGUUUAUUCUUCGUUUUCUCGUUAAAGCACAGCUACGUCUUCCCCUUUACCCCUGCCCCCUUCACCGAACGCUCCAACUUCCGGCAAUACUUUUAGACCCUGGAAUGGAAAGGUGUUCGAUAACUGAAUUAUUCAUAAGUCCCGGGCGGCGCGUUACAGCUUUUAUUUAAUUCGGAACAACUUAGAUGCGUUUCGAACGCUUUCCAGCUAUGUCACGGUAUCGUUUGCCAGCAACCGCGAUUCCUCACGAGGUAUUGCAAUGCCCGAUGCGUAUUUCAACUUGAACCGUAAAAUCGGCCGCUUUUUCCUCUCUUUGUUUCUUGCCCGUUUCAACGAAUCACGAUCUGCCUGGAAUUCUAAUCGCAUGCGACACGCAACAAGUUCGCGUGAA